Mauremys reevesii (Reeves's turtle) is the source of this 293-nucleotide long non-coding RNA. RefSeq lists it as uncharacterized. The record is from RefSeq and is a predicted model, not a curated record. The transcript has 3 exons. NCBI's taxonomy places the organism in Eukaryota, Metazoa, Chordata, Testudines, Geoemydidae.
UGACAGGAAAGAGAAAAAUGUUGAUCUAGAUUCUGUGUUACAUCUCUUGAGAAAAUCAGCCUGGAAAGCACAGUCAAGAUACAGGGUCAACUUUCCAUGACAUUUAGGUCUGCCUACCACCAAAACCAAAUAUUUAUGGAUACAUAGGUGUGUAUACCAGCAGAGGGGGAUUUGAAAGUGAAGUGCAAGUUUCACAUGUGACAACUGUUUGUGAGCUGAAUGUUGCUGCUGUGAUGUGAUUCCUCACACUCAGAGUGGGGAAUGCUUGCAGAAGAGGCUUAUUGUAGAGGCAG